Molecule: ribosomal RNA, 373 nt
Filed under: uncultured bacterium
Lineage: Bacteria
Description: bacterial SSU rRNA
Rfam family: Bacterial small subunit ribosomal RNA
Source: RNAcentral
GAUGAACGCUAGCGGCAGGCUUAACACAUGCAAGUCGAGGGGCAGCAUAAAACAUUGCUUGCAAUGUUUGGUGGCGACCGGCGCACGGGUGCGUAACGCGUAUGCAACCUACCUAUAACAGGGGGAUAACACUGAGAAAUUGGUACUAAUACCCCGUAACAUCAGAGGAGGCAUCUUGAGGUAAUUAAAUCUUCGGAGGUAUAAGAUGGGCAUGCGUAGCAUUAGCUAGAUGGUGCGGUAACGGCGUACCAUGGCGACGAUGCUUAGGGGUUCUGAGAGGAAGGUCCCCCANACUGGUACUGAGAUACGGACCAGACUCCUACGGGAGGCAGCAGUGAGGAAUAUUGGUCAAAUGGUCGGAAGACUGAACCAG